RNAcentral lists this ribosomal RNA (521 nucleotides) under uncultured microorganism. RNAcentral describes it as "bacterial SSU rRNA". It matches the Rfam family "Bacterial small subunit ribosomal RNA", at positions 9 to 524 of the family's 1533-position model. The record is from RNAcentral.
GAGUUUGAUCGUGGCUCAGAUUGAACGCUGGCGGCAGGCCUAACACAUGCAAGUCGAGCGGAUGAGGGGAGCUUGCUCCUGGAUUCAGCGGCGGACGGGUGAGUAAUGCCUAGGAAUCUGCCUGGUAGUGGGGAUAACGUCCGGAAACGGGCGCUAAUACCGCAUACGUCCUGAGGGAGAAAGUGGGGGAGUCUUCGGACCUCACGCUAUCAGAUGAGCCUAGGUCGGAUUAGCUAGUUGGUGGGGUAAAGGCCUACCAAGGCGACGAUCCGUAACUGGUCUGAGAGGAUGAUCAGUCACACUGGAACUGAGACACGGUCCAGACUCCUACGGGAGGCAGCAGUGGGGAAUAUUGGACAAUGGGCGAAAGCCUGAUCCAGCCAUGCCGCGUGUGUGAAGAAGGUCUUCGGAUUGUAAAGCACUUUAAGUUGGGAGGAAGGGCGAGUAAGUUAAUACCUUGCUGUUUUGACGUUACCAACAGAAUAAGCACCGGCUAACUUCGUGCCAGCCGCCGCCGUAAC